RNAcentral lists this ribosomal RNA (30 nucleotides) under Syzygiella concreta. RNAcentral describes it as "partial 26S ribosomal RNA". The record is from RNAcentral. Lineage: Eukaryota; Viridiplantae; Streptophyta; Jungermanniopsida; Jungermanniales; Adelanthaceae.
UGACUAAGAUCAGGCAAGAUACCCGCUGAG